Molecule: non-coding RNA, 905 nt
Organism: Saimiri boliviensis boliviensis (Bolivian squirrel monkey)
Lineage: Eukaryota; Metazoa; Chordata; Mammalia; Primates; Cebidae
Source: RefSeq, a predicted model, not a curated record
CAGGCCCAGCCUUUCUCAUUCUUGAAAGGGUUUUAGGAUAAAACUUUGAGACUGUUAUGUUUAAUAUGCCCACUUGAAAAAAAUAUUAAAAGUAGCAUCUCAGUGACUUUUGGUCACAGACCUCUUGCCUUUUUUUGAAUCCCAUUAUCCAUUACUGAUAUGUAUAUGACCUUAAAUUCUGAAAUCAGGUCCAAGAAACAGAUAUUUUCAAGAAAAAGAAGAGGAGAGGACAGGAAGACAGGAAAUCCAAAAAGAAGAAGUCCGCUCCCAGUAUUUUGUCAAGUGGACGGAUUGGACAGGUUGGAAAAUUCAAAAAUGGAACAUUGAUUCUGAGCCCAGUUGAUAUCAAGAAAAUAAAUUCUUCCAGAGUGGCCAGAUGAAGUACUCUAUCAGAUACAACAAGGAAGGGGAACAGGCCAAGUCAGCUGCAGUGACACUGGACCCUGUGAGACCCUAGACAGACCGUUCUUACCACACGCUUCACAGACCGCUUUGUUUCGAAGGAAAGAAAGUCAAACAGAAGUAACAUUUCCAGUUGCUGAAAGGUCUGCUUCAUGGUGCUGAACGUAUCAGGCCAAGUGCAGCAUGAAUGUGAAGUGAACCUACUGAACAGUGUCUUUUAAUGUUCUCCAGCAAGCUUUGCUCCUAUUUCACGUUCACUGGCAUUUGGUGCAUUUGCUUGUCAUACAAUUUUUUUUACAACUUUACUGUUUCGUAAAUGCUAGUAGUUUACCUUAAAUUGCCUUAUAAUAUUUUUAAUGAUUUCAUGUUACAAUAUCAUGAAAGAACCAAGCAUAGGGUAAUUUAUCAGUUUUGUGGAAAAGCAGUUUUAAUUUUUAGCCUACCAUGUAUACAAAGUGUAGUUCGUAAGAAGUGAUAUAAAUAAAAUACAACUUUUGUAGCAU